GCUCCUCGGAGAUCCCCACUUUUGUCACUGGUCAAGAGGAGAUCCCCACUUUUGUCACUGGCCAGUAUUCUGUCCAACUUUUGUUUGAUACCCAAAUGACCAGAGAGAUCUUCGCCAGCAUUGACUCAGCAACACGCCCAGGCUCUGAGAGCUUGCUCCUCAGCGUCCCUGCAGCUGUGAUCCUGAUGCUGAAUACCGAGGGGUGCUCCUCUGCAGUGAGAAAUGGCCUGCUUCUACUCAACCUGCUUUUGUGUAACCACCAUACUCUGGGAGACCAGAUUAUAACCCAAGAGUUGAGAGACACCUUGUUUAGGCACUCGGGGAUAGCACCGGGGACAGAACCCAUGCCUACCACACGCACUAUCCUCAUGAUGCUUCUCAAUCGCUACUCAGAGCCGCAGAGCAGUCCUGAGCUAGCAGGUACCAGUGUGUAUGUGUGAUGGGAGGUUCUGCUGAGGAGCAAUACAGUAGCAGGCUGUGGCCAGGAAGGGCAGGGUAUACAUUGCAGCCACUCACUGAAGGAUGCUGGGAUCUCUAGGAAAUGAAUGAAACUGUUGGUAUUCAAGCUGGAGAUGUUGGGGGGUGUGGUGUGUAUGGGGCUGUGUAGCCCAAACUGACCUCGAGCUCAAGAUCCUUUUGCCACUGUCUUUCAAGUGCUAGGAAUACCAGUGUGUACCUUCAUGCCUCAAGUUAGAGCUCAAGCAGAGCUUCCUGAUCAGAAGGAGAAUACUGUAGAAUAUGUGCAAGGAAAUUACUUCGCUGUGCCUUACACCUUUGUGGAAUCCCAUCAGUCUUCGUUAGGUUUGAUCCAGACCUGUUAGGAAGUAGAAAAGUUGAAAUAUAGGGAGGCUUUCUGUAGCAGAAUUGCAAUUUAUGGUACAGAAAAUUUGUGACUAGGUUGUAUACUAAAGUGGUUGAGCACUUAACCUCAUACUUAGAAGCCCUUCUUCUUCUAAGAGGGUUCAGGCUCCUGCAUAACAUUACAAAAGAAAGAAACAGAAAAGGAGAGAACAGAAAGUUUAUGACUGGGAAUGUGAACUCUUGUUAUCACAUGAAAUCCUUUGCAUUUUGCAAAACAGGUGAGAG
Molecule: long non-coding RNA, 1086 nt
Filed under: Nannospalax galili (Upper Galilee mountains blind mole rat)
Lineage: Eukaryota; Metazoa; Chordata; Mammalia; Rodentia; Spalacidae
Description: lncRNA (ENSNGAG00000024495.1)
Source: RNAcentral